This 381-nucleotide ribosomal RNA is filed under the name uncultured eukaryote. RNAcentral describes it as "partial 18S ribosomal RNA". It matches the Rfam family "Eukaryotic small subunit ribosomal RNA", at positions 592 to 976 of the family's 1831-position model. The record is from RNAcentral.
CAAUAGCGUAUAUUAAAGCUGUUGCGGUUAAAAAGCUCGUAGUUGGAUUUCUGUCAAGGACAACUGGUCCGCCCUCCGGGUGAGCACAUAGUUUGGUCUUGGCAUCUUGCUGGAAACUGUUGCUGCGCUUGGUUGUGUGGUGCAGCUUUCAGCACUUUCACUUUGAGGAAAUUGGGGUGUUUCAAGCAGGCACAUGCCUUUGGACACAGUAGCAUGGAAUAAUUAGAUUGGGCUUUUGCUCCAACUUGUUGGUUCCUGGAGCUGAGGUGAGAAUCAAUGGGGAUUGUUGGGGGCAUCCGAAUUUAGCCGUCAGAGGUGAAAUUCUUGGAUCUGCUAAAGACGGACAACUGCGAAAGCGUUUGCCCAGGAUGUUUUCAUUGA